RNAcentral lists this ribosomal RNA (433 nucleotides) under uncultured bacterium. RNAcentral's name for it is "partial 16S ribosomal RNA". It matches the Rfam family "Bacterial small subunit ribosomal RNA", at positions 29 to 507 of the family's 1533-position model. The record is from RNAcentral.
AACGAACGCUGGCGGCAUGCCUAACACAUGCAAGUCGAACGAGACCUUCGGGUCUAGUGGCGCACGGGUGCGUAACGCGGGGGAACCUGCACUUAGGUUCGGAAUAACUCCCCGAAAGGGGUGCUAAUACCGGAUAAUGUCUUCGGACCAAAGAUUUAUCGCCUUUGGAUGGGCCCGCGUUGGAUUAGCUAGUUGGUAGGGUAAAAGCCUACCAAGGCGACGAUCCAUAGCUGGUCUGAGAGGAUGCUCAGCCACACUGGGACUGCGACACGGCCCAGACUCCUACGGGAGGCAGCAGUGUGGAAUAUUGGACAAUGGGCGAAAGCCUGAUCCAGCAAUGCCGCGUGAGUGAUGAAGGCCUUAGGGUUGUAAAGCUCUUUUACCCGGGAUGAUAAUGACAGUACCGGGAGAAUAAGCUCCGGCUAACUCCGUG